GAUGAACGCUAGCGGCAGGCCUAAUACAUGCAAGUCGAGGGGUAGAAGAGGCUUGCUUCUUUGAGACCGGCGCACGGGUGCGUAACGCGUAUGCAACCUACCUUCAUCUGGGGGAUAGCCCGGAGAAAUCCGGAUUAAUACCGCAUAAAAUCACAGGAUGGCAUUAUCCAAUGAUCAAACAUUUAUGGGAUGGAGAUGGGCAUGCGUGUCGGUAGCUAGUUGGCGGGGUAACGGCCCACCAAGGCGACGAUGACUAGGGGAUCUGAGAGGAUGCCACCCGACACUGGUACUGGGAAACGGACCAGACGCGUACGGGAGGCAGCAGUAAGGAAAAUUGGUCAAUGGAGGCAAUGCUGAACGAGCCAUGCCGCGUGCAGGAAAACUGCCUUAUGGGUUGUAAACUGCUUUUAUUCGGAAAUAAACCUUAUUACGUGUAAUAAGCGGAAUGUACCGAAGGAAUAAGGAUCGGCUAACUCCGUGCCAGCAGCCGCCGUAA
This 496-nucleotide ribosomal RNA is filed under the name uncultured bacterium. RNAcentral describes it as "partial 16S ribosomal RNA". It matches the Rfam family "Bacterial small subunit ribosomal RNA", at positions 28 to 523 of the family's 1533-position model. The record is from RNAcentral.